This 771-nucleotide ribosomal RNA is filed under the name Triticum aestivum (bread wheat). RNAcentral describes it as "partial small subunit ribosomal RNA". The record is from RNAcentral. Lineage: Eukaryota; Viridiplantae; Streptophyta; Magnoliopsida; Poales; Poaceae.
AUGGAGAGCAUCCCCUCAGAUAUAGUUCAUUUGCCCCGCCUGUCCUAUAUGCUUCUUCCAAAUUGGACAAAGCUGCCUGAAGGUAUCGGGAAUAUGAAAUCACUGCGGACUCUGCGAGGGCUUGACAUGGAAAAGAGCUCGCUGAAGUGUUUUAUGGGGCUCAGCAAGCUGACCAAUCUGAGUGAACUGCAUAUGUCAGUAGGUUUUAGUUUGGGGUUUCCAAACGUUGAUGCUUUGGCUUGCUCCAUUGGAAAGCUAUAUAACCUUGAAUCUCUGUUGGUCUCUGGCGAGCAUUAUGAGCGUGAGGAUAACCAGCAGCUGGGCUCAUUAUCCAAUCCUUUUCAACAUAUUGAGCGUCUUGAAUUGCCUUUUUGGCAGUUAUGGAGAGUUCCAAAAUGGUUGUGUGGUCUCCAUUGCCUGCGCUUCCUUAAGCUGUAUGUUGAAGAGACAUCAACUCAGGAUGUUCAUCUGCUUGGAGAGCUUCCCUCCCUCGUCGACCUGGAACUCUACGCAGGUGAAAUCCCUGAUGUAAGAGCUAUGUUAGGCACGGGGCUAUUCCCAGUUUUGGAGUCCCUAAAAAUCUGGUCUAGUAAAGACGCUACAGUGUACCUGGGCUUCGAGGCAGGUGCUAUGCCCAGUUUACGAACACUCUGGAUCUGUGCGUUCGACUGGGGUGGCACUGUACCAGCCGGCAUGGAGCACUUGUUAUACCUCGAGGAGAUCAAACUGUAUGGGGUCUGCAAUAAUAAGGAUGCCAAGCAUGUGGGCUAA